CUACAGAGGGUGCGAGCGUUAAUCGGAAUUACUGGGCGUAAAGCGCGCGUAGGCGGCUUAUUAAGUCAGAUGUGAAAUCCCCGGGCUCAACCUGGGAACUGCAUCUGAUACUGGUAAGCUAGAGUUUUGGAGAGGGAAGUAGAAUUUCAGGUGUAGCGGUGAAGUGCAUAGAGAUCUGAAGGAAUACCAGUGGCGAAGGCGACUUCCUGGCCAAAAACUGACGCUGAGGUGCGAAAGCGUGGGUAGCAAACGGGAUUAGAAACCCCAGUAGUCC
Molecule: ribosomal RNA, 274 nt
Filed under: uncultured bacterium
Lineage: Bacteria
Description: partial 16S ribosomal RNA
Rfam family: Bacterial small subunit ribosomal RNA
Source: RNAcentral